GACAGAGGUCCCAAGCGUUAGGCGGAAUCACUGGGCUUAAAGCGUGUGUAGGCGGAUGCCUAAGUACCUUGUGAAAUCCCACGGCUCACCCGUGGAACUGCUUGGUAUACUGGGUGUCUUGAGCCACUUAGGGGCUACCGGAACAAAUGGUGGAGCGGUGAAAUGCGCAGAUAUCAGGUAGAACACCCGUGGCGAAGGCGGUUCUCUGGGACGGUACUGACGCUGAGACGCGAAAGCGUGGGGAGCGAACAGG
This 253-nucleotide ribosomal RNA is filed under the name uncultured bacterium. RNAcentral's name for it is "partial 16S ribosomal RNA". It matches the Rfam family "Bacterial small subunit ribosomal RNA", at positions 524 to 776 of the family's 1533-position model. The record is from RNAcentral.